Lepus europaeus (European hare) is the source of this 4449-nucleotide RNA transcript. It is a transcript of the gene named codanin 1, with no coding region annotated. The transcript is spliced from 29 exons. The record is from RefSeq and is a predicted model, not a curated record. Lineage: Eukaryota; Metazoa; Chordata; Mammalia; Lagomorpha; Leporidae.
GCCCCUACCGGGAUGGCGGCGGUUUUGGAGUCGCUGCUGCGAGAGGAGGUGUCGGUCGCAGCGGCCGUGCGGUGGAUCGCGCGCAGAACCCAGAGUUCCGAGGACAGCCCCGGGGAGGCGGCCGUGCUGCGCUCACUCCGGCCGCUGCGGAAGGAAUUCGUGCCGUUCCUGCUGAACUUCCUGAGGGAGCAGAGCUGCCGCGUCCUCCCGCAGGGCCCCCCAACCCCCGCCAAGGCCCCGGGCGCCUCGGCGACCUUGCCGGGGAGGCCGGGGGGCCCGCCGCGGGGCGGCCGCGGGGCGCGCAGCCAGCUCUUCCCUCCGCCGGAGCCCCCGAGCCCCGCGGCCGAGGCCCCUCUGGCCCGCCGCGGGGGCAGGAGGCGGGGCCCGGCGCCGGCCCGCGAGCGCGGAGGCCGCGGCCCCGGGGGCCCGGAGGAGGGGGUCGGCGGGGAGAGCCUGCCCUGGGCCGGGGCCCGGAGGCUCCGGGGCUCUGGCAGCCCCAGCAGUCCCAGCCUCGCGCUCUGUGAUCCACCAAACCUCAGCAACCUGGAGGAGUUCCCUCCCGUAGGCUCGGUUCCCCCCGGCCCUGCAGGCAGGACGAAGCCUUCACGCAGGAUCAACCCAACUCCGGUGAGCGAAGAGCGGUCACUCUCCAAGCCCAAGACUUGCUUCACCUCACCCCCAAUCAGCUGUGUCCCCAGUUCCCAACCCUCAGCCCUGGACACUAGCCCUUGGGGCCUUGGCCUUCCCCCAGGGUGCAGAAGUCUGCAAGAGGAGCGAGAGAUGCUCAGGAAGGAGCGUUCCAAGCAGCUGCAGCAGUCACCUACCCCUUCCUGCCCCACCCCGGAGUCGGGGUCUCCUCUCCCCAGCCGGACGGGGAGCCUCACCGAUGAAGCUGCUGACCCUGCCCGAGUGUCUUCCCGCCAACGCCUGGAGUUGGUAGCCCUUGUGUACUCUUCCUGCAUUGCUGAGAACCUGGUACCAAACCUGUUCUUGGAGCUUUUCUUCGUCCUUCAGCUCCUCACUGCCCGGAGAAUGGUGGCUGCCAAGGACAGUGACCUUGAACCAGGUCCAGGUGUCCUAGAGUCUGUGGGGAGCCCCCUGUUCCAGAGCAUCCAUGACUGUGUCUUCUUCGCCGUGCGGGUGUUAGAGCGUCAGUUUCCGGUUCUUUCCUACCUGGACAAAGGGACCUUGAAGCUGCUGGCAGAGAAUGAGCGGCUGCUAUGCUUCUCACCAGCCCUGCAAGGCCGCCUUCGAGCUGCCUAUGAGGGCAGUGUUGCCAAGGUGUCUCUGGUGAUGCUGCCCUCUGCUCAGGCUGUCUCCUUCCAGCCAGAAACUGACAAUCGUGCCAACUUCUCCAGUGACCGAGCCUUUCAUACUUUCAAAAAGCAGAGGGAUGUGUUUUAUGAGGUGCUUCGAGAAUGGGAGGAUCACCACGAGGAGCCCGGCUGGGACUUUGAGAAGGGCCUGGGUAGCAGGAUCAGAGCCAUGAUGGGCCAGCUCUCGGCAGCCUGCAGCCACAGCCACUUUGUUCGACUUUUCCAAAAACAGCUUCUCCAGAUGUGUCAGAACCCAGGUGGUGCUGGGGGCACUGUGUUGGGCGAAGCUCCAGAUGUGCUCAGUAUGCUGGGAGCUGACAAGCUGGGGCGGUUGCGGCGUCUACAGGAGCGACUUGUGGCCCCUCAGAGCAGUGGGGGGCCCUGCCCACCCCCCACCUUCCCGGGCUGUCAAGGCUUCUUCAGAGACUUCAUCCUGAGCGCCAGCAGCUUCCAGUUUAAUCAGCAUCUUAUGGAUAGCCUGAGCUUGAAGAUCAGGGAGCUCAAUGGCCUCACCCUGCCUCCACAUGAGCCUAAUGAUGACGAAGGGGAGGCAGAUGUGGACUGGCAGGGUGAACGGAGACAGUUUGCUAUGGUGCUGCUCAGCCUGAGGCUUUUGGCCAAAUUCCUGGGCUUUGUGGCUUUCCUGCCAUAUCGCGGGCCUGAACCACCCCCGACCCGUGAGCUUCAGGACUCCAUCCUGGCCCUCAGGAGCCAGGUCCCACCGGUCCUGGAUGUGCGGACCCUGCUGUGGCAGGGGCUGCGGGCCCGCCGGGCUGUGCUCACCGUGCCCUGGCUGGUGGAGUUCCUGUCCUUUGCUGACCACAUCGUGCCCCUGCUGGACUACUACCGCAGCAUCUUUAGUCUCCUGCUGCACCUGCACCGGAGCUUGGUCUUGGCGCAGGAGCGUGAAGGGGAGAUGUGUUUCCUGAACAAGCUGCUGCUGCUUGCUGUCCUGGGCUGGCUUUUCCAGAUUCCCACGGUCCCAGAGGACUUGUUCUUUUCGGAAGAGGAUCAGUCGGAUGGCUUCCAAGUGGACGCAGUGUCCUCAGAAUAUGGCUUGGACAGUGUGCCUGUGGUGGACCAGCAGCUGCUCUACACCUGCUGCCCCUACAUUGGAGAACUCCGGAAGCUGCUCGCUUCGUGGGUUUCAGGCAGCAGUGGGCGGAGCGGGGGUUUCGUCAGGAAAAUCACUCCCACCACCACCACCAGCCUGGGAGCCCAGCCUCCCCAGACCAGCCAGGGGCUGCAGGCGCAGCUCGCCCAGGCCUUUUUCCACAACCAGCCGCCCUCCCUGCGCAGGACUGUGGAGUUUGUGGCAGAGAGAAUCGGAUCGAACUGUGUCAAGCAUAUCAAGGCCACGCUGGUGGCAGACCUCGUGCGACAGGCAGAGGCACUUCUCCAGGAGAAGCUGGUGGCGCAGGGCCAGGAAGGGGGCGAAGCAGCCCAGCUGGUGGAGAGCUUGUGUUCCCAGCUGUGCCCCCACGGGGCCCAGGCGUUGACCCAGGGGCGGGAAUUCUGCCAGAAGAAGAGCCCUGGGGCUGUGCGGGCCCUGCUUCCAGAGGAGACCCCGGCAGCUGUGCUAAGCAGCGCGGAGAACAUUGCCGUGGGGCUGGCCACAGAGAAAGCCUGCACUUGGUUGUCGGCCAACAUCACAGCGCUGAUUAGGAGGGAGGUGAAAGCGGCCGUGAGUCGCAUACUUCGAGCCCAGGGUCCUGAGCCAGCUGCCCGGGGGGAGCGGAGGGGCUGCUCCCGCGCCUGUGAGCACCACGCUCCCCUCCCCUCCCACCUCAUCUCCGAGAUCAAAGAUGUGCUCUCCCUGGCCGUGGGGCCCCGGGACCCUGAGGAGGGAGUUUCCCCAGAGCAUCUGGAGCAGCUCCUAGGCCAGUUGGGACAGACCCUGCAGUGUCGCCAGUUCCUGUGUCCACCUGCUGAGCAGCAUCUGGCCAAGUGCUCGGUGGAGCUGGCUUCCCUGCUUGUGGCAGAUCAAAUUCCCAUCUUGGGGCCGCCGGCACAGCGCAGGCUGGAGAGAGGGCAGGCCCGAAGGCUCCUACACAUGCUGCUUUCCCUGUGGAAGGAGGACUUUCAGGGGCCCGUUCCCCUGCGACUCCUGCUGAGCCCGAGAAAUGUGGGGCUUCUGGCAGACACAAGGCCGAGGGAGUGGGAUCUGCUGCUCUUCUUGCUCCGGGAGCUGGUGGAGAAGGGGCUGAUGUGCCGGAUGGAGAUAGAGGCCUGCUUAGGCAGCCUCCGUGCUGCCCAGUGGCCAGAGGACUUCUCUGAAGAAUUAGCAACGCUGUUCAAUCUGUUUCUAACUGAGCCCCACUUGCCAGAACCCCAGCUACGGGCGUGUGAGCUGGUGCAGCCAAACCGGGGGACUGUGCUGGCCCAGAGCUAGGGCUGGGCAGCGGCCCUGCUGGGCACCUCAUCAGAACCCUGCCUGCCUGCCUGUGCCUCAGGAGGAAGCCGAAGAGCCCACUGCUGCCCCUCGCUGCGGUGGGAGGAGCUGGGUCUGGAACAGACCUCCUGCUCGGAUGGAAGGGCUGCGUGGCAUCCCACCGACGGCGAGCUCACCACCCGAAUCCUGGAGGCAGGAGAGGCCAGGUGAUUCAGCGUGCUGCUGGAAGAGCCUCGAGACUCGUCUGGGAGCAGAGCGGGCGUUGAUCACGUGGAUGCGGAGUACCAGGCGUGAGAGGGCUUGUCAAACAGGCUCCUCGCCUCACUUGCUGCUAUGCUAGCACCUCUUACAACGUGUGGUUCUGGAUCACGAAAGCGGCAGAGGACUUCUGCUUCACUUGAAAAUGAAAGCACCAUCUUGGAACUCUACAUUUCCCCAUCACCGGGAACUUACAAAUGCACAACAGAUAAGGGGCUGAUGUCUAGUCAUUUCCGCCUUUUCCCUUAGAAGGCUGCAGUCUCCGGUGGGCUCCUGAGUUCCAGCCGUACAGGUGCCUUGCCGGUUAGGAUGCCAGCCCCAGGCCCAUGAAGCUGCUUGCUUUCAAUUUAUGCCCAGCAAAUUGGCAGCUCUCGUCAGGGCUGGGGGUGUCCUAUCUGGCUGACAACGUGUCUCAGAACUAAAGCAUUCUACUUCUCUAUAAGCGAACCACUGCUUUUGACUAAGAAAGCAUUAAACAUGUCA